RNAcentral lists this ribosomal RNA (504 nucleotides) under uncultured bacterium. Its description in RNAcentral is "partial 16S ribosomal RNA". It matches the Rfam family "Bacterial small subunit ribosomal RNA", at positions 30 to 523 of the family's 1533-position model. The record is from RNAcentral.
AUUGAACGCUGGCGGCAUGCCUUACACAUGCAAGUCGAACGGCAGCAUGGAGAGCUUGCUCUCUGAUGGCGAGUGGCGAACGGGUGGGUAAUGCAUCGGAACGUACCGUGUAAUGGGGGAUAACGUAGCGAAAGUUACGCUAAUACCGCAUACGACCUGAGGGUGAAAGCAGGGGAUCGCAAGACCUUGCGUUAUACGAGCGGCCGAUGUCAGAUUAGAUAGUUGGUGAGGUAAAGGCUCACCAAGGCGACGAUCUGUAGCGGGUCUGAGAGGAUGAUCCGCAACACUGGGACGGAGAGACGGCCCAGACUCCUACGGGAGGCAGCAGUGGGGAAUUUUGGACAAUGGGGGCAACCCUGAUCCAGCCAUGCCGCGUGAGUGAAGAAGGCCUUCGGGUUGUAAAGCUCUUUCGGCCGGGAAGAAAUCGCACAGGCUAAUAUUCUGUGUGGAUGACGGUACCGGCAUAAGAGGCACCGGCUAACUACGUGCCAGCAGCCGCCGUAA